RNAcentral lists this ribosomal RNA (578 nucleotides) under Micrococcus sp. I14A-00922. RNAcentral's name for it is "bacterial SSU rRNA". It matches the Rfam family "Bacterial small subunit ribosomal RNA", at positions 95 to 687 of the family's 1533-position model. Lineage: Bacteria; Bacillati; Actinomycetota; Actinomycetes; Micrococcales; Micrococcaceae. The record is from RNAcentral.
GUGGCGAACGGGUGAGUAACACGUGAGUAACCUGCCCUUGACUCUGGGAUAAGCCUGGGAAACUGGGUCUAAUACCGGAUAGGAACGUCCACCGCAUGGUGGGUGUUGGAAAGAUUUAUCGGUCAUGGAUGGACUCGCGGCCUAUCAGCUUGUUGGUGAGGUAAUGGCUCACCAAGGCGACGACGGGUAGCCGGCCUGAGAGGGUGACCGGCCACACUGGGACUGAGACACGGCCCAGACUCCUACGGGAGGCAGCAGUGGGGAAUAUUGCACAAUGGGCGAAAGCCUGAUGCAGCGACGCCGCGUGAGGGAUGACGGCCUUCGGGUUGUAAACCUCUUUCAGUAGGGAAGAAGCGAAAGUGACGGUACCUGCAGAAGAAGCACCGGCUAACUACGUGCCAGCAGCCGCGGUAAUACGUAGGGUGCGAGCGUUAUCCGGAAUUAUUGGGCGUAAAGAGCUCGUAGGCGGUUUGUCGCGUCUGUCGUGAAAGUCCGGGGCUUAACCCCGGAUCUGCGGUGGGUACGGGCAGACUAGAGUGCAGUAGGGGAGACUGGAAUUCCUGGUGUAGCGGUGGAAU